GUGGGGAAUCUUAGACAAUGGGCGCAAGCCUGAUCUAGCCAUGCCGCGUGUGUGAAGAAGGCCUUUUGGUUGUAAAGCACUUUAAGCGAGGAGGAGGCUACCGAGAUUAAUACUCUUGGAUAGUGGACGUUACUCGCAGAAUAAGCACCGGCUAACUCUGUGCCAGCAGCCGCGGUAAUACAGAGGGUGCAAGCGUUAAUCGGAUUUACUGGGCGUAAAGCGCGCGUAGGUGGCCAAUUAAGUCAAAUGUGAAAUCCCCGAGCUUAACUUGGGAAUUGCAUUCGAUACUGGUUGGCUAGAGUAUGGGAGAGGAUGGUAGAAUUCCAGGUGUAGCGGUGAAAUGCGUAGAGAUCUGGAGGAAUACCGAUGGCGAAGGCAGCCAUCUGGCCUAAUACUGACACUGAGGUGCGAAAGCAUGGGGAGCAAACAGGAUUAGAUACCCUAGUAGUCC
Molecule: ribosomal RNA, 451 nt
Filed under: uncultured bacterium
Lineage: Bacteria
Description: partial 16S ribosomal RNA
Rfam family: Bacterial small subunit ribosomal RNA
Source: RNAcentral